UGCUUUGGUCAAACGGAGACCUGCAAUUUCGCUCCAGGAACCUGCCAAGACAACAAGGCUACUGGUGGCUGCCUCUCCGUGGCGGAAGAUAUUACACUGGGUGGGACACAGAACACAUACUUCUACAAACAGUGUCUGAGUAGCUACAAGAGUGACAUAGAAGUCCCCAUCUCCUUCAGUGUUGGGAACGGCAAUUACGUGAGGAUCAACACUACACGAUGCAACACAGAUAAUUGUAACUUGGCUGUACCUGGAGUGCCCACGGGGAGCACCACCGCGAACGGGCUGCAGUGCCCAACCUGCUUCGCUCUGAACUUCACUGUCUGCAACAGCUCAGUCACCCCUUGUACCGGGGAUGAGACCUACUGCAUGGAUUUCAC
Molecule: long non-coding RNA, 380 nt
Filed under: Gopherus agassizii (Agassiz's desert tortoise)
Lineage: Eukaryota; Metazoa; Chordata; Testudines; Testudinidae
Description: lncRNA (ENSGAGG00000007168.1)
Source: RNAcentral